This 423-nucleotide ribosomal RNA is filed under the name uncultured bacterium. Its description in RNAcentral is "bacterial SSU rRNA". It matches the Rfam family "Bacterial small subunit ribosomal RNA", at positions 207 to 622 of the family's 1533-position model. The record is from RNAcentral.
AAGACCUUGCACUUUUGGAGCGGCCGAUGUCUGAUUAGCUAGUUGGUGGGGUAAUGGCCUACCAAAGCUUCGAUCAGUAGCUGGUCUGAGAGGACGGCCAGCCACACUGGGACUGAGACACGGCCCAGACUCCUACGGGAGGCAGCAGUGGGGAAUUUUGGACAAUGGGGGCAACCCUGAUCCAGCCAUGCCGCGUGAGUGAAGAAGGCCUUCGGGUUGUAAAGCUCUUUCAGCCGGAACGAAACGGUUACGGUUAAUACCCGUGACUACUGACGGUACCGGAAGAAGAAGCACCGGCUAACUACGUGCCAGCAGCCGCGGUAAUACGUAGGGUGCAAGCGUUAAUCGGAAUUACUGGGCGUAAAGCGUGCGCAGGUGGUUUUGUAAGUCAGAUGUGAAAGCCCCGGGCUCAACCUGGGAACU